Molecule: ribosomal RNA, 481 nt
Filed under: Lactobacillus sp.
Lineage: Bacteria; Bacillati; Bacillota; Bacilli; Lactobacillales; Lactobacillaceae
Description: bacterial SSU rRNA
Rfam family: Bacterial small subunit ribosomal RNA
Source: RNAcentral
GAAGAACGUAUUUGAUAGUAACUGAUCAGGUAGUGACGGUAUCCAACCAGAAAGCCACGGCUAACUACGUGCCAGCAGCCGCGGUAAUACGUAGGUGGCAAGCGUUGUCCGGAUUUAUUGGGCGUAAAGCGAGCGCAGGCGGUUUCUUAAGUCUGAUGUGAAAGCCUUCGGCUCAACCGAAGAAGUGCAUCGGAAACUGGGAAACUUGAGUGCAGAAGAGGACAGUGGAACUCCAUGUGUAGCGGUGAAAUGCGUAGAUAUAUGGAAGAACACCAGUGGCGAAGGCGGCUGUCUGGUCUGUAACUGACGCUGAGGCUCGAAAGCAUGGGUAGCAAACAGGAUUAGAUACCCUGGUAGUCCAUGCCGUAAACGAUGAGUGCUAGGUGUUGGAGGGUUUCCGCCCUUCAGUGCCGCAGCUAACGCAUUAAGCACUCCGCCUGGGGAGUACGACCGCAAGGUUGAAACUCAAAGGAAUUGCGGG